ACGGUAACAGGAAGCAGCUUGCUGCUUCGCUGACGAGUGGCGGACGGGUGAGUAAUGUCUGGGAAACUGCCUGAUGGAGGGGGAUAACUACUGGAAACGGUAGCUAAUACCGCAUAAUGUCGCAAGACCAAAGAGGGGGACCUUCGGGCCUCUUGCCAUCAGAUGUGCCCAGAUGGGAUUAGCUAGUAGGUGGGGUAACGGCUCACCUAGGCGACGAUCCCUAGCUGGUCUGAGAGGAUGACCAGCCACACUGGAACUGAGACACGGUCCAGACUCCUACGGGAGGCAGCAGUGGGGAAUAUUGCACAAUGGGCGCAAGCCUGAUGCAGCCAUGCCGCGUGUAUGAAGAAGGCCUUCGGGUUGUAAAGUACUUUCAGCGGGGAGGAAGGCGAUGUGGUUAAUAACCGCGUCGAUUGACGUUACCCGCCGAAGAAGCACCGGCUAACUCCGUGCCAGCAGCCGCGGUAAUACGGAGGGUGCAAGCGUUAAUCGGAAUUACUGGGCGUAAAGCGCACGCAGGCGGUCUGUCAAGUCGGAUGUGAAAUCCCCGGGCUCAACCUGGGAACUGCAUCCGAAACUGGCAGGCUUGAGUCUCGUAGAGGGGGGUAGAAUUCCAGGUGUAGCGGUGAAAUGCGUAGAGAUCUGGAGGAAUACCGGUGGCGAAGGCGGCCCCCUGGACGAAGACUGACGCUCAGGUGCGAAAGCGUGGGGAGCAAACAGGAUUAGAUACCCUGGUAGUCCACGCCGUACACGAUGUCGACUUGGAGGUUGUGCCCUUGAGGCGUGGCUUCCGGAGCUAACGCGUUAAGUCGACCGCCUGGGGAGUACGGCCGCAAGGUUAAAACUCAAAUGAAUUGACGGGGGCCCGCACAAGCGGUGGAGCAUGUGGUUUAAUUCGAUGCAACGCGAAGAACCUUACCUGGUCUUGACAUCCACAGAACUCCCCAGAGAUGGAUUGGUGCCUUCGGGAACUGUGAGACAGGUGCUGCAUGGCUGUCGUCAGCUCGUGUUGUGAAAUGUUGGGUUAAGUCCCGCAACGAGCGCAACCCU
This 1050-nucleotide ribosomal RNA is filed under the name Salmonella enterica subsp. enterica. RNAcentral describes it as "bacterial SSU rRNA". It matches the Rfam family "Bacterial small subunit ribosomal RNA", at positions 66 to 1105 of the family's 1533-position model. The record is from RNAcentral. Lineage: Bacteria; Pseudomonadati; Pseudomonadota; Gammaproteobacteria; Enterobacterales; Enterobacteriaceae.